GUCGACGAUGAUGCCCAGCUUGCUGGGUGGAUUAGUGGCGAACGGGUGAGUAACACGUGAGUAACCUGCCCCUGACUCUGGGAUAAGCGUUGGAAACGACGUCUAAUACUGGAUAUGAUCACUGGCCGCAUGGUCUGGUGGUGGAAAGAUUUUUUGGUUGGGGAUGGACUCGCGGCCUAUCAGCUUGUUGGUGAGGUAAUGGCUCACCAAGGCGACGACGGGUAGCCGGCCUGAGAGGGUGACCGGCCACACUGGGACUGAGACACGGCCCAGACUCCUACGGGAGGCAGCAGUGGGGAAUAUUGCACAAUGGGCGAAAGCCUGAUGCACCAACGCCGCGUGAGGGAUGACGGCCUUCGGGUUGUAAACCUCUUUUAGUAGGGAAGAAGCGAAAGUGACGGUACCUGCAAAAAAAGCACCGGCUAACUACGUGCCAGCAGCCGCGGUAAUACGUAGGGUGCAAGCGUUGUCCGGAAUUAUUGGGCGUAAAGAGCUCGUAGGCGGUUUGUCGCGUCUGCUGUGAAAUCCCGAGGCUCAACCUCGGGCUUGCAGUGGGUACGGGCAGACUAGAGUGCGGUAGGGGAGAUUGGAAUUCCUGGUGUAGCGGUGGAAUGCGCAGAUAUCAGGAGGAAC
Molecule: ribosomal RNA, 633 nt
Filed under: Curtobacterium flaccumfaciens
Lineage: Bacteria; Bacillati; Actinomycetota; Actinomycetes; Micrococcales; Microbacteriaceae
Description: bacterial SSU rRNA
Rfam family: Bacterial small subunit ribosomal RNA
Source: RNAcentral